Molecule: long non-coding RNA, 5831 nt
Organism: Lathyrus oleraceus (garden pea)
Lineage: Eukaryota; Viridiplantae; Streptophyta; Magnoliopsida; Fabales; Fabaceae
Exons: 3
Source: RefSeq, a predicted model, not a curated record
UAAACACGUGAAACACUCUAAUCCUAAUUUUAUUCCCUUGCUCCAUCGAAUCACAUGUAGUAUUUAAUCCAAGAAGGACGGUCUUUCAACGACAAACGCACAAAGACUCAUAGAUCUCAUGAAAAGAAGUUUCAUGUUUCAGUGGAAGAAUAAGCCACUAAAUUACUGUAGCAAAACUUUGAAACCGAGUUUAAGAAGGGAGUUUGUUUAUCAAAAAACGCUCGGCAAGGAACUUUUUAGCUUUAACUCAAACACGGUGGUUGUCGGUGAAGAUUUCUCCAUUGACGACUACCUUGACUUCUCCAACAGCGGCGAACAAUACCACGAGGAAGAUGAAGAAGAAAAAGAUAGUUUAUUUUCACAACUAAAUUACUCGUUUCGGAUGAUGACGUGGCAAGUCUUGAAUGGGUUUCCAACACAAUGCUUCCACAUAAAUUUUGAAUUGGAGUCCAUGAUUUUUCAAGAUCUAGGUGACUGCCUAAAUACGUUGAGCUUUGAAUUCUCGUAGUUAGUCAUAGUAACUUGCUUGUUGGGUACUUCAGCAAGGUACAUGUAUUCGUCAUUUCAAUAUGUGUGUAUAACAUAUAACUUCAAGUUUCUCACAAAUAGAGAGGUAACUUUUUAUUAAGUAUAUAUUUUAGAGUCUUUUAUUUCUUCUUUUUUUUUAGAUAAUGAAUAGAUUAAAUGUUCACUCUAUUUUUCUGUUUGUUAUAUUUUCUACUUCCAGUUCUAUACGUUUUGUCAUCAAGAUAAUGAAUAGAUUAAAUGUUCCUUCUUGAUUGUUUUGUAGAAAAUAUUUUUUCUUAUGGGUGAAAUUACUGAAUUUCAACAUGAGCACAUCAUAGAAAUAUUUGAAGCUCACUAAAACUUAUACCUUUAAUUUGUCACAAUUUUAAAAAUGUAGUACAAUUUUCCCAUCUUGAACUUGUAAUUAUUUUCUCUGAUGGUAGGAUUCGAGAAUGGAAGGAAUUUGUGAAAAUGUUAUUGUGUGGCACUAACGGUUGUGGCAAAUCCACAUUGUCAGCACUGUUGGUAUAUUUGCAAAUAGAAAUAGUGUCUUUUUUCUAUGAGAAAUAUUUAGGGUUAGUUUUUACUUAACUUGCAGCAGGAUAUGCAACUUGCAGUGACUAAUAAUGAAUAUCACAACUUGCUUUUAAUUGUUCAAUUGCAAAUUUUCUCUAAUCAUUCAUUGUAAAAGAGCAUCUUAUGUUGUUGGUUAAUUUUGUUAUAAAUGAAUAAUUUGUACUGUCUUUUAUUAUAAUGAAUAAUCUGACAACUGCUUCCUUUUUGUUUGGACCAGAGCCCUCCUGAAGUUCAUGCCAAUGUAGUUGAAACAUUAUGUACAAUUCACAAUCAAAGUUUGGCUUUGUCAACUCACUUUGUGUGUGUAUUUCUUUACUCGACCUCAAAAAAUAAGUUGUUUCAUCUUCACUUUUUCAUUCAUUAUAAAAUCAAAACAUGUAUGAUCCAUCAUUCCUGUAAAUCCAAAUAUUAUUGGUGCAAUGCUCUCUAAAGGAACGAGGUUCGUCUAGAUUUGAUGAAGAUUGACAUAUGCACUUUUUAGGAAGUAAUAAAGUUAAAUUUUAGAAAAGACUAGUUCACUGUUUAGAAUCAAAACAUAGGAUUAUGUUUAUUUAUUAUAGGAUCAUCCUUUUAGUUUGAAUCAAAUAAUGUAACAAGAGUAUGGUUUAAUGUCAUUAAAUUUAAGAUUAUGUUAAUAUCAAAGGUUUUAUUAAUCUAAAAUGUUAUGAAACUGUUACAAAUGCCCUCUAAUCAUAGUUUUAUUAACUUUCUUAACUUGGUCACUUAAAUAGUUAUAAUGUUUCAAUUUAAUCCCUUGAUAAAAUUGUUGACUUACUAUAUUAACUUUUGCAAUGUUGUCAUGCCACAUGUGCACAAAUUACGUUUUUUUACAAAAUUUAACAGAAAUGACCAACUUGACUAACAUAACAGUUUUAAGGGACUAACUUGUAAUAUUUUUUUAAAUAAGAGACUAAAGUGAAACAUUAAAUUAAGUUAGAGAACUUUGUGACUAAUAAUGCCUAGAUAACAUAAUUCAAAGUGUAAUAUUUAGCUUUUUUUUAAUAGCAAAAUAUUAAAAAUAAAAGAACCAAAAAGUUAAAUAGAAUACAAAUAAAGCUAAGAACACCAUAAGUACUCAUGAACAACAACUAAACCUUGACUAAAAUCCAAAGAGGAAUCCAAAUAGAAAAUCAAGAAAACACACCAACCGCCUCAAAAAAAAAACAUAAGUUGACCCAAAACGCUGUCAAUACUAUCCUAAAUCUCUUGACUCACAUACCUCUAGAGAGAACAAGUUGGAAGAAGAUAGACAUCUCCAAUUGUACAAAAUAAAAGGAGGGAAAAUGACCACCCAGCACACCCCUAAAUGCCUAGCCACUUGGGCAGGUUACUCCCAAUCAACUAGAGAAAUGAAGAAACUUGAAGCAUGGACCUGAAUCCACUUCCAUAAAAAGCUAAUUAUUGUAGACAUCUAAUGAUUAAUCGUCAAGCUUUCCUUGCAAAAAAAUAACUUUGUUCUACAAUUUCUAAAUAGUCCAAACCACAAACUUCCAUAUUGAAGUUAAGUCUAAAGACGUUUGUUUCCCAUACCCAAAACGCUAGAACAACUCAAAAACUCUUAAGAUCGAGUGAGGAAAAUCCCACAUCGUCCUACCCAUUGAAAAACUUUAUACCAAAUGACAGAAGCUACCUCACAUAGAAAAAAUAUAUGAUAUGCAUUCUCCACAUGCCCGACACACACAAUACACACCCCAACACUAGGAUUUGACAUUAUUUCACGCCUAAGAAGAUUCUUCCUAGUCGGUAAUCUAUUUUAAAUUGCUUCCAAGAGAACACCACAACUUUAGAUGGCGUCCAACUCUUCUAAACCCUAGACAAUCCUUUCGCCACCCUCUCAUACAUAUCUUCCCUGACCCCUGCCAGAGCCAUCAGGCUUCCAUAAGUCGAACCAAUUGAAAACCCAUUAGUCAGAUCCAAUUUCCAAACCCAAGAAUCCACCUUAUCACGUCGAACUAUGCAUGUGAUAAGCGCAAGAAAAUUCCCAAAUAGCUCAUUGUCCUAGACUCAGAAAGAUCGUAUCCAUGUGAAUCUCCAAACCCCAACAUCACAUUCCCAAGCACAACAACUGAUACUUUUUCUCAGAGUCAGGAAGUGCCUCUCAAAAGAAACACACAAAGGACUAGUACCAUCCCAGACAUCAUUCCAGGACCUAGUCUUCAGACCAUCCCUGGCCUUCCUCACAUAGGAGGUGGUAAACUAGUCAGGCACCUGAUCUGAUAGAGACCCAAGAAGAAAAACACACCUCCACCAGUGUGACACCUUCCGAAGGCUCCCUCAUCUUCCUCCCAAAGGGGAACCAAAUCCUUUCUAACUGUAUCUAGCCAUACAAAUAUCUCUCCAAAGUGAGGGUGAAUCCUGAAUAAUCCUCCACGUACACUUACUAAGCAGUGCUAAAUUAACUAGUCUAAUAUCGUUGAACCCUAAACCUCCUUAUCUUUUGGAUUUACUUGCAUCCUCCCAUUUAACCCAAGCAACCUUAAUGCCUCUUUUAGAGACCCCCCCCCCCCCCAAAAAAAAAAAAGGAACUGCCUUUGCAAACCUACCAACUUCUUCCAAACAGACAUUGGCAUCUUCAUAUAAGACAUAAAGAACAAUGUGAUUGAAUUCAAAACCAAGUUUGAAAAAACCACCCUACCACAUAAGCUAACAAAUUUAUUCCUCCAAGAAGCUAGCCUCUUAGUGACCAAAUUAACCAAAGGAUCCCAAGUCUUUUCCUUCUUCAGAUUCGCUCAUCGAGAGCCCAAGAUACUUAAAAUGAAGGGACCACACCUUAUAGUGUAAAAAUUCCUAUACCACAUUCAUGAAAGUCUUACCCACAUUUACUCCAAACAAACAACUAUUGGAAAAAUUCAUUUUGAGACCCGAGGCAAGUUCAAAACUUUUGAGAACCUCCUUAAUAGUCAAAAUAUUGUCAACAUACCUCACCCCCACCAACAUUGUGUCAUCUACGUACUAGAGAUGAGACACCUCAAGCCUGUCCACCCCUAGCUUAAAACCUUCAAAUACACCUACCGAGACCGUCUUUCUCAAAGAAGCACUAAGACCCUCCAUCACCAGAAGAAAAAGAAAAGGCGUUAAAAGGUCUCCUUUCUUUAGACCCUUUUGGAUACUAAUAUCCUUGGUAAGGCACCCAUUCACCAAGAUUGAUAGACUACCCAAAAAAACACAUGCCCUAAUCCAAGUCCUCCAACAAUCAUCAAAACCAAAUUUUCCCAACAUAUAAUCCAGGAAGGACCAACUAACUAACAGGGUCGUAAGCCUUCUCGAAAUCUAAUUUGAACAAAAAAAACUCUCACUUAGACACUUUAGCAAGAUCUAAGACCUCGUUUAGUACCACCAUUCCAUCCACCAUAUGUCUCCCUUUAAGAAAAGCUUAUUGCUCUAGGGAAAUACGCAUCACCAUGACCCUAACCAACCUAGCAGUCAACACCUUAGCUAACAUUUUAUACAAAUAACCAACAAGAGAGAUAGGUAUGAAAUCCCCUAAAUCCAAAAGGGAUUCCACCUUAGGAAUAAGGUCUACGAAAAGGGAAGUCAGACUCUUAGGAAACACAGCAUUAUGGUAAAAUUGGUCAAACAUCUCAAAGACCUUAUCCUUACUUUAAAAAUUAAAACAUUAGAACCUGGGUUCGUGGACUCAUCAAUCUCAACUACAACAACAUUCACUUCUAAGAACAAAAAUCUAACAGAGAAGGACUUUGCCUCAGCUACAGAAAGACAAGGAAGAGCAACCCCAUCGAGGGUUGACCUGUUGGUUUCAGAAUCCGAGAAUCGCUCCAUAAAGUACCUUGAUAUCUCCCCUCGAACCUCUAUAACCUUAUCCAACCAAAAGUCUCCCACACGAAGAGCGUCCAAACUAAUCCUCCUACUCUUUUACUUAAUACACUUAACACAAGCAUGGAAGCACCUAGUAUUGGCAUCCCCCUCCUUCAACCAAACCAACCUAAAUCUUUCGAAAAGUUGAUAGUCACAACGUCGGAUCAAGUCUCAUAACUAUUGGUUAACUUUAAAUCUAUCUAUUAUUUAAAUCGUUUAUGGAAAGAUGGUCAGACUCUGCUCUCAACUCCAAGCUUUGAAGCUUAUCCGAACACAUCUUAAUCUUAAACUCCAAAUUAUAAAUCACUUCCUUACUCAAAACCUUAAGUGUCCUUUUAAGAGCUUUCAACUUCUCCUUCAGCUUGCACGUCAUCCAACCGUCAUGAACUUCUAUCCACCAGGACUCACUAACCACCCUCUCAAAAUUGGCACCGUUCAACCAAAAAUUAUUAAAGCGAAGGGCUUAGAUCUCUAGAGUUGAGAUAGAUAUUUCAAAAUAAUUGGACAAUAAUCAAACACAUCUCAGGCCAAAGUUCAAAGACUACCCUAGUCCCAUGCAUACUCCCACUCAGUCGAAAGAAGUACUCAAUCCAACCUACUCAUAUAGACCACAUUCGAAUGGAACCAAGUAAAUCUUGUUUCCAACAACGCAAGAACUACCAACCUCGUUGCUUCAAUGAAAACACUAAACUCCAAGGACUUCGUAGGGACCGAGGCCAACAACCUCUUUUCUCUUUGCCCGAUUAAGAACCACCUUGAAGUCUCCCAACACACAUCAGACAGAACCUGAGAAUCGCCCAUAAGCUCGAACCAAGAGAUCCCACAUCACUUUUCUCAUCCAUCGAGCACUUCACAUACACAUUGACUAUAAAACAUUGUUGAGCAUUCACACCCCACUCAAGACACACCUCAAGAUACCCUGGUCAAAUACA